AGCGAACGCUGGCGGCAGGCUUAACACAUGCAAGUCGAGCGCCUGUAGCAAUACAGGAGCGGCAGACGGGAGAGUAACACGUGGGAAUAUGCCCUUCGGUUCGGAAUAACUCAGGGAAACUUGAGCUAAUACCGGAUACGCCCUUACGGGGAAAGAUUUAUUGCCGAAGGGUUAGCCCGCGUCCGAUUAGCUAGUUGGUGAGGUAACGGCUCACCAAGGCGACGAUCGGUAGCUGGUCUGAGAGGAUGAUCAGCCUCAUUGGGACUGAGACACGGCCCAAACGCCUACGGGAGGCAGCAGUGGGGAAUAUUGGACAAUGGGCGCAAGCCUGAUCCAGCCAUGCCGCGUGGGUGAUGAAGGCCCUAGGGUUGUAAAGCCCUUUCGGCGGGGAAGAUAAUGACGGUACCCGCAGAAGAAGCCCCGGCUAACUUCGUGCCAGCCGCCGCGGUAA
Molecule: ribosomal RNA, 451 nt
Filed under: uncultured bacterium
Lineage: Bacteria
Description: partial 16S ribosomal RNA
Rfam family: Bacterial small subunit ribosomal RNA
Source: RNAcentral